AUAUUUUCUGACUAAAAAUCCUUCUUUUAUUCCUCAAAUAUGGAUCUUUACGGGCUCAUACUGCAUCCUAAAGUUCGGCUGUCUUCAAUUAUGGUGGUCAACGAAAUAGAGCAUAUGUAGACAUAAACUUUACCACAUGAUCUGCUAGCUCCGCCCUCUCUUAACCAUUUGACAGCAUAGUGACAUUGAUUGACAUCUGGUACAUAAUAAUUGAUUGGACUAUAGAUGGGAACCCUAUAGGAGAUACUGUGUGAAACCUGCAAAGGCCUCUUGGUACUAAAUGCUUCAAGUUUGCUGGGGGAAUUCACUGUCACAGUUU
Molecule: long non-coding RNA, 319 nt
Organism: Actinia tenebrosa (Australian red waratah sea anemone)
Lineage: Eukaryota; Metazoa; Cnidaria; Anthozoa; Actiniaria; Actiniidae
Source: RefSeq, a predicted model, not a curated record